Molecule: ribosomal RNA, 433 nt
Filed under: uncultured bacterium
Lineage: Bacteria
Description: partial 16S ribosomal RNA
Rfam family: Bacterial small subunit ribosomal RNA
Source: RNAcentral
AACGAACGCUGGCGGCAUGCCUAACACAUGCAAGUCGAACGAGACCUUCGGGUCUAGUGGCGCACGGGUGCGUAACGCGUGGGAACCUGCCCUUAGGUUCGGAAUAACUCCCCGAAAGGGGUGCUAAUACCGGAUAAUGUCUUCGGACCAAAGAUUUAUCGCCUUUGGAUGGGCCCGCGUUGGAUUAGCUAGUUGGUAGGGUAAAAGCCUACCAAGGCGACGAUCCAUAGCUGGUCUGAGAGGAUGAUCAGCCACACUGGGACUGAGACACGGCCCAGACUCCUACGGGAGGCAGCAGUGGGGAAUAUUGGACAGUGGGCGAAAGCCUGAUCCAGCAAUGCCGCGUGAGUGAUGAAGGCCUUAGGGUUGUAAAGCUCUUUUACCCGGGAUGAUAAUGACAGUACCGGGAGAAUAAGCUCCGACUAACUCCGUG